AAAAAGGAAAAGGCAAGAAAUAAUGGAGUAUCUGUAUGCUUUUUCUAAUCUUGUGUUUCUUACUUUCUUUGUGUCACUUUUU
This 82-nucleotide non-coding RNA is filed under the name Eutreptiella gymnastica. Lineage: Eukaryota; Euglenozoa; Euglenophyceae; Eutreptiales; Eutreptiaceae. The record is from RNAcentral.